RNAcentral lists this ribosomal RNA (465 nucleotides) under uncultured bacterium. RNAcentral's name for it is "bacterial SSU rRNA". It matches the Rfam family "Bacterial small subunit ribosomal RNA", at positions 328 to 802 of the family's 1533-position model. The record is from RNAcentral.
AUGAAACACUCCUACGGGAGGCAGCAGUGGGGAAUAUUGCACAAUGGGCGCAAGCCUGAUGCAGCGACGCCGCGUGGGGGAUGGAGGCCUUCGGGUCGUAAACUCCUUUCGCUAGGGACGAAGCUUUGUGUGACGGUACCUAGAUAAGAAGCACCGGCUAACUACGUGCCAGCAGCCGCGGUAAUACGUAGGGUGCGAGCGUUGUCCGGAAUUACUGGGCGUAAAGGGCUCGUAGGUGGUUUGUCGCGUCGUCUGUGAAAUUCUGGGGCUUAACUCCGGGCGUGCAGGCGAUACGGGCAUAACUUGAGUGCUGUAGGGGUAACUGGAAUUCCUGGUGUAGCGGUGAAAUGCGCAGAUAUCAGGAGGAACACCGAUGGCGAAGGCAGGUUACUGGGCAGUUACUGACGCUGAGGAGCGAAAGCAUGGGUAGCGAACAGGAUUAGAUACCCUAGUAGUCCGAAGUUC